RNAcentral lists this long non-coding RNA (203 nucleotides) under Cicer arietinum (chickpea). Its description in RNAcentral is "long non-coding RNA (CARI_LNC001363)". The record is from RNAcentral. Lineage: Eukaryota; Viridiplantae; Streptophyta; Magnoliopsida; Fabales; Fabaceae.
UGAAAUUGGCGACUCCAUCUUUCACACUAUGUAAGCAAAACUGGAAAAAGACAUAUAAGUAGUAAUUUUUUUCAGCUCCCUUGAAUUUGUUUGUGUGUCUCCACUGUUACCAUAUUAAAUGCUUUGGAUUUAUGUGUAAUAUUUAUUAAGAAUGAUGGACACAUAGCUGACUUUUGCAAGGAACAAGAGUAAAUGCUUUUUCU